CGCUGGUUUUUAGGUUAGCAGAGGUUGGAGGAAGGGCCAGACUGAGGCGGAGCUUGCUGCUGUCAAGGAAAAAAAAAAAAAAAGAAAAGAGAAAAAAAGGGGGCUGCAAAUUGCUGUUCUCAGCUUUUUUCUCUCCUCUCCUCCACCCCCGCCCUCCCCCGAAAAAAGGCAGUGCUUUCUCUUAGGCUCUUAAAAAUGAUGCAGAAUUUUAACCAUCUGCUGUACCCGGAGCUCUUCGCUGGUGCUGCACAGCUGAAUGUUUGCAAAGGGAAGAAUUUGUAAAGCUUUCUGAAAUAGACAACUAUUUGUAAGCAUGUAAAAUAUUUUAGGGAAUCCUUUCUUUAAAGAAAGGUUCUGUUUAAUUGCAGACUGAGUGAGAAAGCAUCUCCGUAAAUAGGAAUGCAGACAGUCUGGAUGCCGGACUUGGAAAGUAUUUAAUGGUCAUUGGAAAAAAAUGAGGAAGAGGAGGGUGUGGCUGCUGCUGGGAGGCUCUGGCCCUGCAAAGGGUCCCUGGCUCGUAGAGAUGUGGUCCUGCAUCAGCACAAAACGAAGACUUCUUUUCGCAGCUCUGUCUGGGAGGCCCCGGUUGUGAGCGGAGGGAGCGGAGGGUUUGAGCGCGGUGCCCCGGGCAGAGCUGGGUGCCCGCUCGCAGUCCCGGCGCUUCAGCCGGGCUGCCGGAGCGCCGCCCGGGACGGACGGACGGACGGACAGAGCGGGCUCCCCGUGCGGGGCUGCCAAGGCACCGCCGCUAACUCACCUGCGCCCGGCGAGCUGUCCCGAGGCAAGAGUAGAGUAAAAAAACACCGGGGAAAAAAAAGCUGCAAGAUAAACAUUAUGUCGGCAGCACCCUUAAAAACCUGCUCGUGCAACCACCCCUUUUAAUGACUCCUUUCUUGGAGGAAAAAAAAAAAAUUAAAAAAUAAAUCACUCGUGCUAGUGCCA
RNAcentral lists this long non-coding RNA (942 nucleotides) under Zonotrichia albicollis (white-throated sparrow). RNAcentral's name for it is "lncRNA (ENSZALG00000014946.1)". The record is from RNAcentral. Lineage: Eukaryota; Metazoa; Chordata; Aves; Passeriformes; Passerellidae.